This is a non-coding RNA of Leptonychotes weddellii (Weddell seal), 761 nucleotides long. NCBI's taxonomy places the organism in Eukaryota, Metazoa, Chordata, Mammalia, Carnivora, Phocidae. The record is from RefSeq and is a predicted model, not a curated record.
UUGGAGAGAGAAGGUGGCAGGAUGUUUGCACUUCUGGAAGAAAAUUGUUCAUUGAGAACAAGUCUAAGACAUGGAAGAUACAUUCUUUCAAAAUAAUAUAAUACUCUCGAUUCCUGAUAAUGGCUACUCUCAGUGCCUGAAGACUAGUGAUUUCAAAGGGGCCUCUCAGCCAGGAUGUAUAUCUAAUCAGGACUCCUACGAGUUACACAGGUAACCUCGGAUUUCUAAAAACAACCAACUCUAAGACGCAAGCAGGAGAGGGGAUGAUGUUCCUGCCUACCUGGGACACUCUGAGAGGUGGCCUUGCCUGGGCCCCUUUGGAAAACUGUCGCUGCAUGUGGAGGCAAGGAGGGUGCGUCUAAGGUGGUGGAACCACCUCCCUAGUGGGAAGAGAAGAAGUCCAAGUAUGACGGUGUCCGAGGACCCGAGUCUUGUCAUCUUUUCUUCAUUAUGUGCGUGUGUGUUGGGGGCAGGGCUCCGAUUAUCGGUUGCUGGCAGUUGCCCCUCGUUGUACUCAAAACUCUUCUGAUUUAUCAGAUUAGCAAAGGUAAUUGAAGUAAGAAUAGUUCCUUAAUUGAUUUGAGGUCAGUAUUUUGAACUCCACUAUGAAGACAGUGGGAUUUGGGUUCUGCAGGCCUGGGCAGCUCCCAUCUCUAACGUUGGACCCACAGUGUAGAACUUGUUGCCACUUUCCACCUUUCACUCGGCACGGCCAGCACUUAAGUUCGGGAGGGAGGCUGGUGGUAGAGGAGAGCGCAGCU